RNAcentral lists this ribosomal RNA (121 nucleotides) under Aotus nancymaae (Ma's night monkey). Lineage: Eukaryota; Metazoa; Chordata; Mammalia; Primates; Aotidae. The record is from RNAcentral.
GUCUACGGCCAUACCACCCUGAACGCGCCCAAUCUCGUCUGAUCUCGGAAGCUAAGCAGGGUCGGGCCUGGUUAGUACUUAGAUGGGAGAAAACUUGGGUGAAACUAGCCUGCCUUUUACA